Molecule: long non-coding RNA, 5113 nt
Filed under: Podarcis lilfordi (Lilford's wall lizard)
Lineage: Eukaryota; Metazoa; Chordata; Lepidosauria; Squamata; Lacertidae
Source: RNAcentral
CUUCUGACCUUAACACAAAGUUAUCCUGUCCAGCAAAAGGUAGCCAUAAAUUUCACUGGGGGAAGGGUGAAAAAAACCACACCAAAGACCUGUUGGGUUGAAAGAAGAAACUCUGGUCCUGUCAACCGUCAAGUGACCCAGGUUACUCAUUGGAGGCUCUCACCUGAGGGUGGGUGGGUGAGAAGCUUGUGGGACAAAGUGGCCCCAAACUCUCAAGGGGGGGGGUCCUUACAAAGGAUUCUCCUCCCCCUCUCCUUUGGCCCCACAGGAACCAACAUUUGGGUGGAAAUCCACCCCAUUUGCUGCUUGGUGGGCCACACAGUGCCAGGCAAAUUUUCUCCACAUGAAUUGUUCCCAUAACAAGGCUUAUUACAAUAACUAUCCCAAGAAGGACCAUAUAGCAGCUGUCUUUCAUGCAGAAGGUUCCAGGCUAAAUCCUUGGUAUAUCUUGGUAGGAUUGGCAAUGUCUCUUAUCUGAAACCCUGGAAAGUUGCUGGCAAUUAGAGAAAGUAGAUAAGGCAUGCUUGGAACAAGAUCAGAAAAAUCUUAAGCAAGUCAAAUAUAUGCUGUAUAAUAAUUCAAUGUGCCAAUGAGAUUGGAGCAGAUGACUCGCACAGCCUCCUCCAUCAGCACUAAAAAUUGUUUGAAAUGUUUCUGGUAGUGUAGCUCAGCAUUGCUGGGAACUAUAAUACCACUAAUAUUAUAGCUGCUUAUUUUCAAACUCUAGUCAUACCAUAUUAUUCUGCACAUGGAAAGCUAAUACCUUGGAGGAAAGGGUAGGCAAAAUUAGAUACUUGGCUGUGGUAGUUUUCUACACACAGGGAACUUUUGAAAUUGAGGUAUAUUCAGACAUUGUAGGAGUUGUGUGAUUUGAUUCUUGGCAGGACAUAGUAUAACUUGAGAAGUUACCAAGGAGAAGAAUAGCCUGUAAGUUAUGGUCACAAAAAUGAAUACUGAUCAAGAUACAGGAAAAUGCAUUCCAGUAAGAUCCCCCGCCCCUGAGGAAUUUAGUCUUACUACUGAAUUACAUUGUGAUGCAGGAAGCUAGUGUUAACACUUCUGAGAAAAUCUUAAAACCUCACUUAAAGUUUACUGGCCUUUGUAUCUGCCCCCUCCCCAUUACUGGAACGGGUUACUUCCGGGUUUCGGCGCUCACGCAUGCGCAGAAACACAAAAUGACGUCACACGCAUGUGCAGAAGUGCCAAAUUAAGUCACACACGUUCGCAGACACGGCGCUGUGGGUUGCGAACGAUGUGGGUUGCGAACUUGCCUCCCUCAUGGAUCAUGUUCGCAACCCGAGGUAUGACUGUGUGUGUUUGUGUGUGUAUAUAUAUAUAUAAUCUCAUCGGUCCUUAUUGCCUAGAAAUGGAAAGUAGUGCUGAUGGGUUCAUAAUUAUUCAGAUUAUAUAAAUGACAUUGUUGUUUUUCUUACUGUAAAAUUUGUGUUGUCCACAUAUCUGUGUCAUUCACCGCUAUUGUUUUUCAUGCUGGUAUUGGUACUGACCCUGCAGUUCAUUGCUAUCACAUGUUGCAGUACUUGGCUCUGCAUGGGUUGAAAAUAUUCCCAGCAUCAACAGGAGACACAGCCCAAGGCUAGACUUGGACGUGUUAUCAUAAUGGCGUCUCCUGCUGUAACACAGUUAGGAGAGAUAUCUGAAGGGACUGCUGUUAACUGCUUGGUAAUCACUAACAUGCUGAAGCAAUCCUCACACUAAAUAGAUGCUUUGUAGGGCUUAUGGGUGGGGGUGAAAUUAAAUACUUCAUUGGCUGAGGAUUCAGUUGCAGUGUUGCCUACACAGCUUUAGCUGACAUGAUUAUACUUUUCACUAACAUGCUGAGGUGGGGGGGAAUGAAGAAGUUAGUUAGACACUGAACCAGAGUUCAUAAUGUUGCCAAAGGACAUUAUUUAUUAUUGGGUGAAAUCGCUGGAGAAUAGUCUGUUAUCAUAAUAUGGUGCUCAUCCUUUGAUGCCAUGUUAUUGUAACAUAAUGAAAACUGUUUACCGUUAGUUAAUGGAAUGUGCUUUUUGAAUUGAAUUAGAAUUGAGAGUUCAGUCACUUUGACUUCAUAUGAUUUCAGCAGGCUCUUUGUAUGAUGACUAAACAAUUGCAUUUUUCCCCUUCAGCAACAACAGACGGUGAAUAGUCUGGUAAAUAAGACAGAAUACAGCUGGUUUCAUUAGCAAGUGUCAAGAUCAGUAUCUAUUUUUCUUUCUUUUGUUAUGCAGCUAUAUUUUACUUGUGAUGGGGAAAAAUUGUUUCUGGGAGAGACAUUACCAUAAAGGAACUCAGCAAUUAAUAGCCAUUAUAUAUCUCUGUAUACAAUUCAGCAUUAAAACUGUUCCAGCUGCCAAGAUACAAACCUAAAUGACUCUUAUAUUUUCAAGGGUAUGUAAACUAUAAUGCACAAAUCUAGGUUCACAAUGGGCGGGGAGGGAAAUUUGAAAGAUACAGGCUCUCCUGAAUGGAUACAGGUGGAGUUUUUAUUUACCCCUAUUUUUGGUACAGUAUAAGAGUUUUCCUCAUAUGCAAUUCCUUUCAGAAGAGAGGUGUUCUCGUUCUCUCUGUGUGUAGCAUCCUGGAAAAGGAUGUUCUCCACUACCAAUCAGAGAGCAACCCUGGGUGUAAAAUAUGCUGCAUGGUAAGACUUAGAGGCACCUCGAGAGAAUGGCAUAUAGCCAUGUAAUGCUUCAAUAGCCAGUGAUCGCAAAUCUCAAUAUAAAAAGAUUGUUUAAACCACAAAGUGGUGGUAGGAGACAUCAGACUAGAACAUUGGCCCUGAUAGGCAUUCUACUUAUCUCCUAAUAAACCUUCAACGAUGAGAAUAUGAUAAGAAAAACAAUUUUUGAUUUGCAUCUAAAAUUCAUUGAAGGGUUUAUUUUUGUAAUUGCUUUGCCCUUACUGUCAAACCUGAACUUUGCUACCAUUUUGAGCCACAGUGGACACCUCCCACUGCGAUGCAUGUUUAUAGUUGAAUCUUCACAUAUCCUUUACUAUAGUACAGUGGUACCUUGGGUUAAGAACUUAAUUCGUUCUGGAGGUCCGUUCUUAACCUGAAACUGUUCUUAACCUGAGGUACAACUUUAGCUAAUGGGGCCUCCCGCUGCCACUGUGCCGCCGCCACACAAUUUCUGUUCUCAUCCUGAAGCAGAGUUCUUAACCCGAGAUACGAUUUUUCUGGGUUAGUGGAGUCUGUAACCUGAAGCGUCUGUAACUUGAAGCAUAUGUAACCCAAGGUACCACUGUAAAAAGAAAUGGAAAUGUAUUUUAAGGGUUCGUCUGGGGUACCUAUGGGCAUACAUGUGCCUGGUGCCCUUGGGAGUACCUGAGCCCACUGAAACAAAAAUUGGACUUAUGAAGCUCUUCCCCUGCUCCCUGAUUGGACACCCUGUGUUCCAUCCUCAAUUCUAGCCAUUUACCUAACUGCCUGCUGCACCUGUGACCUAUGUACCUUUUAACCCAACUUAUGUAUCACAGCAUUUGGCAAAAACUGUGUUGAGAUUUUGAGUACUGUCUCUACCUGUGGUAGCUGGGGCAUAAUGCAGAUUCUUGUUAUUGCACCUUGGUUGGUUUUCUUGCAGGCCAUGUGAAGUAACAGAAUAAUAGAAUCAUAGAAGUCCAACCUCUUGUAAGGCAGGAAUAUGCAGCUGUCCCUUACUGAGAUUGAACCUGCACUAUGCUCUAGCCAACUGAACUAUAAGACACACUUAAGAACACUGUUGGGAGAAUAUAACAUGAAACAAGUAUCUCCUAGGAAAGGGGCCCCCAGUCUUUUGGGGCCUAUGGAAAAUGUGGAAUUAUAAGUUAGUGAACAAAACAUGCUUAACUGGAAAAUUUAGCAAGGCCAUAUAGGAACACUUGGCUGAACCACUUUGCCCUUCACCUUGUUUGAGCACCUAGCGCUAUAAUAUUUUCUUGAAGUUAUAUAGUUUUCUAACCCAUCUGAUCAUAUUUUUGUGUCUUCAGUCUUGAACAGACAUCUAUUGUUCCUUUUUCUGGCCACAUGCUUCAAUUCUCAUUUAUUUUCCUUCAUGUAUUGAAGGAACCUGCAACAUCAAUUUGAAUAGGGCAGGGAGUUCUAGCUGAAAUGUAUUAACUUUUGUUAUUUUGACAUCCAGGCAGUUUCCGCCCCCCAGCUUACAGCAGAGAAAUUGAAGGGUGGGUAAAGGAAAGUCAACAAGAUGAAUAGCACAGAAGGAAAUUCAUGCCGAAAUUGUAUUAGAAUUAGAUAGCUAAAGCAAUGUAACUAGGCUGGUGAAGAUAAUAUGCCCAGUUCUGUAUGAUAGAUAUGCAAUUUGCUAAGUCAGAAUGUAAAUAUCUUGCCCAGAUAGAAAAGUUUUGCUUGAGUAAACCACAGAUUUAAUAUGGCGUAACUGAGGCUCAAAUGUGGAGCUCAGCUUUUGAGGAAAUAUUUCGAAUGGGCUAUAUAGCUAGCUGCCUGUUGUCUGUGUGUCUGCUUAGGGCUAACUUCACUUCAGAGGUGACUGCCUUUUGUUCUCUUCCCUUGGAGAAGGGGCACAUUGAAAACAGGGGUCAAAGAAGGCAUUGACUUAUGUCUGGACUGCUGAAACCUUGCCUUUAUUUCAUGUCUGUUGCUUCACAGACCAGUUUUGACCAUGUCCCAGGUUACUGCCUGAAGUCUAGUCCUUCUGCAGUCCUUGCCUGGGGUGUGUGGUUUGUGUGUUGUUGGCCCUGGCAGGAUUAAGCUCAGGCAUUGGCACCAACUCCAGCAGUGGCAGGAGCAAAGCGAGCACAGCCCAGGGUGAGGCCCCCUGGCCUGAACAGAGGGAGGCAGGUGAGUGAUCAGGCGCCUUACCUGUGCUCUCACACAGUGGCGGAGAAGGAGGCUGGAAUGGCUUAGCACAAUCAUUUUUUCUGGGCCCCUUAGGGUUGGAGCCUAUGAGUCCAGGACUCCUGUGUCCUGGAAUGCUGCUCCCUCCCCCUCCCCAGGCUUACAGGAAAAGCCUGGAGAUCAUACACCACACUUCUUGCAAUCAGUAAAUGCUGUUGCUUUAAAAUCAGUAAUACACAGGACCUUCAGAGCAUAUACUUCUGGCUUAAGGAAGAUCUGAAGUCAGGGAAGCUGUUUGUAAUGAAGGCCACCAUCUCAAGU